RNAcentral lists this ribosomal RNA (497 nucleotides) under uncultured bacterium. RNAcentral's name for it is "partial 16S ribosomal RNA". It matches the Rfam family "Bacterial small subunit ribosomal RNA", at positions 28 to 507 of the family's 1533-position model. The record is from RNAcentral.
GACGAACGCUGGCGGCGUGCCUAAUACAUGCAAGUAGAACGCUGAAGGAAGGAGCUUGCUCUUUCUGGAUGAGUUGCGAACGGGUGAGUAACGCGUAGGUAACCUGCCUGGUAGCGGGGGAUAACUAUUGGAAACGAUAGCUAAUACCGCAUAAAAUUGAUUAUUGCAUGAUAGUCAAUUAAAAGGUGCAACUGCACCACUACCAGAUGGACCUGCGUUGUAUUAGCUAGUUGGUGGGGUAACGGCUCACCAAGGCGACGAUACAUAGCCGACCUGAGAGGGUGAUCGGCCACACUGGGACUGAGACACGGCCCAGACUCCUACGGGAGGCAGCAGUAGGGAAUCUUCGACAAUGGACGGAAGUCUGACCGAGCAACGCCGCGUGAGUGAAGAAGGUUUUCGGAUCGUAAAGCUCUGUUGUAAGAGAAGAACGAGUGUGAGAGUGGAAAGUUCACACUGUGACGGUAUCUUACCAGAAAGGGACGGCUAACUACGUG